GUCCUCACUUUGGCAGCACAUAUACUAAAAUUGGAAUGAUACAGAGAAGAUUAGCAUGGCCCCUGUGCAAGGAUGACAUGCAAAUUUAUGAAGCAUUCCAUAUUUUU
Small nuclear RNA from Dipodomys ordii (Ord's kangaroo rat), 107 nucleotides. Lineage: Eukaryota; Metazoa; Chordata; Mammalia; Rodentia; Heteromyidae. The record is from Ensembl.